AGCAGCCGCGGUAAUUCCAGCUCCAAUAGCGUAUAUUAAAGUUGUUGCAGUUAAAAAGCUCGUAGUUGAAUUUCGGGAUCAAUAUUUCGGUCAUGCCGUUGGUAUGCACUGUUAUCAUUGAUUUCUCACCUUCUAAAGAACCGUAAUGCCAUUAAUUUGGUGUUACGGGGAAUUAGGACUGUUACCUUGAAAAAAUUAGAGUGUUUAAAGCAGGCUCACGCUUGAAUACAUUAGCAUGGAAUAAUGAAAUAGGACAUCCGAUUCUAUUUUGUUGGUUUCUAGGAUCGAUGUAAUGAUUAAUAGGGAUAGUUGGGGGUAUUAGUAUUCAAUUGUCAGAGGUGAAAUUCUUGGAUUUAUUGAAGACUAACUACUGCGAAAGCAUUUGCCAAGGAUGUUUUCAUUAAUCAAGAACGAAAGUUAGGGGAUCGAAGACGAUCAGAUACCGUCGUA
RNAcentral lists this ribosomal RNA (450 nucleotides) under uncultured Glomeromycotina. RNAcentral's name for it is "SSU rRNA". It matches the Rfam family "Eukaryotic small subunit ribosomal RNA", at positions 569 to 1022 of the family's 1831-position model. The record is from RNAcentral. Lineage: Eukaryota; Fungi; Glomeromycota.